AAGAAAAAGGUGGAAUUAAGCACUAAACGGGGGGUUUCCCCUUUAUUCUCACGCAUGCACUAACAGUGAAAGGGAAAAAGGCUCACUUCUUCUUUCUUAUUCUCUCUUUCCAGCCAGCGGUGGUGGCGGUGGUUCGGGGAUCCUCCGUUCAUGGCGACGGCUUCAGCUUCCAGAAGAGGUGGUGACGGGUUGUGCCUUGCCAGUGGCUUCGCUCCGAGCUUCUGUCUCGUUCUCCGAAUCUCUCGGUGCAAGGGGAAUUGAAAUCCCCCCAACUCCAUUUUUAUCCUCUCCAAUGUCAGUUUUAAAUUGAUGGAGGAAGACAACAACGUCAACCCUCCAAGGCUUUCUCGGCUACGCUGUGGUCUCGAAGCCACCACCCCGAAUUUGAAUUGGGUGAUUCACGAAAGCUCUCUCCGAUGGGUUAUGGUGAUCCCGAAUCGAGUAGUCCUUACUUUAUUAUUCUCUUUCAACUUAUUGCCUUUUACUUGGUUCUCAGUUUUUCUUGAUUUCGUGAACUCAUAUAGUCUUAAUUUAUAUUUUCAGAAUGAUAACCCAUAGCCAUUAAAGGCCGAGCCAAAACGGAUUGAAGAGCACUAAGGAUACGCGCGGGCGUCCUCUCACAGCAGAUUAGAGGAGGGGUAAUUACUCUCUUUUUCUUUUUCAACCCCUAUCUUUUGUAUGAGGCUCACUGGGUUCCAGAUUAAUGAUAAGGGAAUAAUCCAUAUUUUCUAUUAGAAUUUUGCAUAAUCAUAUUAAUGGCAUCAAUUCGCGGAGACAGACAGACUAAAAUAAAGUUCAAUUAUGCUUUUUACAUUCCAAUAUAUGUAUAUGUAUUUCUGUGUUAUGACUGAUUAGCAAUGGUUACGAAAAAAUCCUAUAAGUCUAAUGCAUAAGCCAUAUAAAGUAAGGAACGUUCAUAGGAUUUUUACGGCUUAAGUGCUUACCUGAGUUAUGCUUCUUCCUUUUUAUUCCUCCUGAAUGUGGUCUCCUGCCAUGAUGUAUGAUGUCUUGCGUUUUGUUGCAAUCUCGUUUCUGCUUUCCUGUUUCUGGAUGCCUUACUGCACUAUCUCUUGGCUGAUUUCUCUUAUGAUUAUGUAUGCGUAGCUAUAUUGUGUUCUGGUUUAUAAGCUUUUUCUUUGAUGUAUGUAUCUCACUCUAUGUUCGUGUGUCUCUCUCUGUGCGUGUGUUAUGGGUGGUAGUAUGCUCUGUAUCAAGUGUUUUUCUUCUGUCCGUGUGUGUACUUAUAUAGUCUUCUGAUGCUCCAUAUGAGCCUCUUGAAUUGCCGAAACUGCUACCUGAUGAUUGACUCCUAGGCUGCCCAUUGUGAGCCAUAAAUGGACUGUUUUAUUUUGAUUUAUUCUGGCUAUCAUUGCUAAUUGAUGCUGAUUAAGCACAUGUAACUGCCGAUAGAUUCUUUUAGUUUGCCUAAACUUUAUGAUUGUCUGCUGGAAUACAUAACUGAAACAAAGAAUAUUUGCUAUGAUUACCAGGAAGUGACUGCGAGGGGUUGAUAAUCUGGUGAAGAUCAGCAUCCGUGAGUUCAUAGACCAGGUGGAUAUUCUGGAAACUUCUUCUCUGGAUAGGCGGCAUC
Molecule: long non-coding RNA, 1591 nt
Filed under: Lupinus angustifolius (narrow-leaved blue lupine)
Lineage: Eukaryota; Viridiplantae; Streptophyta; Magnoliopsida; Fabales; Fabaceae
Description: long non-coding RNA (LANG_LNC002563)
Source: RNAcentral